GAGGCAGAGAUAGGGACCGUGCCGUGCUGCUUGGCUGACACGCAUUUCGGAGCAACACAUUCCAGCAGAUGAACCCAUUUGCACACAUUUUCAAACACCCUGGAGAUGAUUUGCUCUUCGAUUGCUCCUGAUGUCAGGCUGUGAGUCAUGGACCACUCCACGUGUGGUGAAGGACACCCCCGAUCUGUGGCACUGUGGCAGCUUGGUGAAGACCCAAAAGAAAAAGAGCCUGACUGUAGAACUGGACCCUUAAAACCAACUGAUUUCUUUGAAGGGACUUAUUCGGAAGAAAGUUAAUAAAAACUGCAUGGAAAAACCAGCAUCACAGCUAUUUUUUUUUUUUUUGCUGCCUGAAAUUCCUACAGGGAAGUUAGCUGAAUGCAAAAAGUAUGGAGAAAGAGAGAAACAUUCCAUUGGUCCUUAAAGCCCAAAGGAGUGAUUCCUUCAGUGCUGCCAUUCCAGUGGAGAUUGCAGCAAGGUCUCCUUCCAUACCAGUUGCUGCCCUGGUGUAGAUCCUCUGGCACCGAUUCCUGUCCCUGGGAGUUGCCCCAGCUUGAUGCCUGCAAGGAUGUGGGCGUGGUGAUAUUCCUUGUCAGCCAGAAGAGCAGUGCCAGCAUGAGCAGCCACCUACCAGUGCUGGAACUAGCAAAGGGUUGUAUUUUCCCCACUCCUUAUAUGACCUGCAAAACUGUGUGAAAGAUCAGCAUAAAGAAGUACUUAACCAGUUCAAA
Pipra filicauda (Wire-tailed manakin) is the source of this 731-nucleotide long non-coding RNA. RefSeq lists it as uncharacterized. Lineage: Eukaryota; Metazoa; Chordata; Aves; Passeriformes; Pipridae. The record is from RefSeq and is a predicted model, not a curated record. The transcript is spliced from 5 exons.